GGAGAGAUGGCCGAGUGGCUGAAGGCGGCGGUUUGCUAAACCGUUAUAGGGCUUUAACUCUCUAUCGGGGGUUCGAAUCCCCCUCUCUCCGCCA
This 94-nucleotide transfer RNA is filed under the name Terriglobus saanensis SP1PR4. RNAcentral's name for it is "tRNA-Ser (GCT) (tRNA-Ser-GCT-1-1)". It matches the Rfam family "tRNA". Rfam says of the family: Transfer RNA (tRNA) molecules are approximately 80 nucleotides in length. Their secondary structure includes four short double-helical elements and three loops (D, anti-codon, and T loops). The record is from RNAcentral. Lineage: Bacteria; Pseudomonadati; Acidobacteriota; Terriglobia; Terriglobales; Acidobacteriaceae.